RNAcentral lists this ribosomal RNA (864 nucleotides) under uncultured bacterium. Its description in RNAcentral is "bacterial SSU rRNA". It matches the Rfam family "Bacterial small subunit ribosomal RNA", at positions 9 to 921 of the family's 1533-position model. The record is from RNAcentral.
GAGUUUGAUCCUGGCUCAGAACGUACGCUGGCGGCACGCCUAACACAUGCAAGUCGAACGAAGUAGCAAUACUUAGUGGCAGACGGGUGAGUAACAUGUAGGUAUCUGCCCUUUGGCCUGGAAUAACACGAGGAAACUUGUGCUAAUACCGGAUAAGUCUUUACGGAGAAAGCUUUAUGCACCAUUGGAUGAGCCUGCACUUGAUUAGUUUGUUGGUAGGGUAAUGGCCUACCAAGACUGUGAUCAAUAGCUGAUUUGAGAGGAUGAUCAGCCACAUUGGGACUGAGACACGGCCCAAACUCCUACGGGAGGCAGCAGUGGGGAAUCUUGCACAAUGGAGGAAACUCUGAUGCAGCGAUGCCGCGUGAGUGAAGAAGGCCCUUGGGUUGUAAAGCUCUUUCGUCGGGGAAGAAAAUGACUGUACCCGAAUAAGAAGGUCCGGCUAACUUCGUGCCAGCAGCCGCGGUAAUACGAAGGGACCUAGCGUAGUUCGGAAUUACUGGGCUUAAAGAGUUCGUAGGUGGUUGAAAAAGUUGGUGGUGAAAUCCCAGAGCUUAACUCUGGAACUGCCAUUAAAACUUUUCAGCUAGAGUAUGAUAGAGGAAAGCAGAAUUUCUAGUGUAGAGGUGAAAUUCGUAGAUAUUAGAAAGAAUACCAAUUGCGAAGGCAGCUUUCUGGAUCAUUACUGACACUGAGGAACGAAAGCAUGGGUAGCGAAGAGGAUUAGAUACCCUCGUAGUCCAUGCCGUAAACGAUGUGUGUUAGACGUUGGAAAUUUAUUUUCAGUGUCGCAGCGAAAGCGAUAAACACACCGCCUGGGGAGUACGACCGCAAGGUUAAAACUCAAAUGAAUUGACGGGGACC